AUACUCUGGUUUCUCUUCAGAUCGUAUAAAUCUUUCGCCUUUUACUAAAGAUUUCCGUGGAGAGGAACAUUUAUGAGUUUUCAACUAAUUUUUUGAGGCCUGACUUCGGUUGGGCU
Molecule: small nuclear RNA, 116 nt
Organism: Elgaria multicarinata webbii
Lineage: Eukaryota; Metazoa; Chordata; Lepidosauria; Squamata; Anguidae
Product: U5 spliceosomal RNA
Exons: 1
Source: RefSeq, a predicted model, not a curated record